RNAcentral lists this non-coding RNA (29 nucleotides) under Rattus norvegicus (Norway rat). The record is from RNAcentral. Lineage: Eukaryota; Metazoa; Chordata; Mammalia; Rodentia; Muridae.
UUAGACAUUAUUGUUUGGGAUUAAAGUGU